RNAcentral lists this ribosomal RNA (395 nucleotides) under uncultured bacterium. Its description in RNAcentral is "bacterial SSU rRNA". It matches the Rfam family "Bacterial small subunit ribosomal RNA", at positions 30 to 425 of the family's 1533-position model. The record is from RNAcentral.
AUUGAACGCUGGCGGCAUGCCUUACACAUGCAAGUCGAACGGCAGCACGGGAGCAAUCCUGGUGGCGAGUGGCGAACGGGUGAGUAAUAUAUCGGAACGUGCCCAGUCGUGGGGGAUAACGUAGCGAAAGCUACGCUAAUACCGCAUACGAUCUAUGGAUGAAAGCGGGGGAUCGCAAGACCUCGCGCGAUUGGAGCGGCCGAUAUCAGAUUAGCUAGUUGGUGGGGUAAAGCCCACCAAGGCGACGAUCUGUAGCUGGUCUGAGAGGACGACCAGCCACACUGGAACUGAGACACGGUCCAGACUCCUACGGGAGGCAGCAGUGGGGAAUAUUGGACAAUGGGGGGCAACCCUGAUCCAGCAAUGCCGCGUGAGUGAUGAAGGCCUUCGGGUUG